UGAAAGCAUCUAAGCGCGAAACUCACCUCAAGAUGAGGCUUCCUUUAAGGGUCGUUAAAGACGAUGACGUUGAUAGGCUGCAGGUGUAAAGGUGGUAACAUCAAAGCCGAGCAGUACUAAUUACCCGUAGACUUUCUAA
RNAcentral lists this ribosomal RNA (139 nucleotides) under Chlorobiota bacterium. Its description in RNAcentral is "partial 23S ribosomal RNA". It matches the Rfam family "Bacterial large subunit ribosomal RNA", at positions 2772 to 2925 of the family's 2925-position model. The record is from RNAcentral. Lineage: Bacteria; Pseudomonadati; Chlorobiota.